AAGCCAUGAUGUGGACAUUGUCUUUGAAGAUUUUUAAACCUCUUCCAAGCUUUAUGUAAUGUCUCGUCUUCCUUCUGAGCAAAGGUACUAAUAUUAUUCCUUAGUUU
Molecule: small nucleolar RNA, 107 nt
Organism: Mangifera indica (mango)
Lineage: Eukaryota; Viridiplantae; Streptophyta; Magnoliopsida; Sapindales; Anacardiaceae
Source: RefSeq, a predicted model, not a curated record